CGGGGUGUAGCUCAGUCUGGUGGAGCGCCUGCUUUGGGAGCAGGAGGUCAUGGGUUCGAAUCCCGUUACCCCGA
RNAcentral lists this transfer RNA (74 nucleotides) under Chloroflexota bacterium. RNAcentral describes it as "tRNA-Pro". It matches the Rfam family "tRNA". Rfam says of the family: Transfer RNA (tRNA) molecules are approximately 80 nucleotides in length. Lineage: Bacteria; Bacillati; Chloroflexota. The record is from RNAcentral.